GAUGAACGCUGGCGGCGUGCCUAAUACAUGCAAGUCGAGCGAACAGACGAGGAGCUUGCUCCUCUGACGUUAGCGGCGGACGGGUGAGUAACACGUGGAUAACCUACCUAUAAGACUGGGAUAACUUCGUGAAACCGGAGCUAAUACCGCAUAAUAUAUUGAACCGCAUGGUUCAAUAGUGAAAGACGGUUUUGCUGUCACUUAUAGAUGGAUCCGCACCGCAUUAGCUAGUUGGUAAGGUAACGGCUUACCAAGGCAACGAUGCGUAGCCGACCUGAGAGGGUGAUCGGCCACACUGGAACUGAGACACGGUCCAGACUCCUACGGGAGGCAGCAGUAGGGAAUCUUCCGCAAUGGGCGAAAGCCUGACGGAGCAACGCCGCGUGAGUGAUGAAGGUCUUCGGAUCGUAAAACUCUGUUAUUAGGGAAGAACAAAUGUGUAAGUAACUAUGCACGUCUUGACGGUACCUAAUCAGAAAGCCACGGCUAACUACGUG
Molecule: ribosomal RNA, 497 nt
Filed under: uncultured bacterium
Lineage: Bacteria
Description: partial 16S ribosomal RNA
Rfam family: Bacterial small subunit ribosomal RNA
Source: RNAcentral